This 466-nucleotide ribosomal RNA is filed under the name uncultured bacterium. Its description in RNAcentral is "partial 16S ribosomal RNA". It matches the Rfam family "Bacterial small subunit ribosomal RNA", at positions 28 to 507 of the family's 1533-position model. The record is from RNAcentral.
GAUGAACGCUGGCGGCGUGCUUAACACAUGCAAGUCGAACGAUGAAGCCCAGCUUGCUGGGUGGAUUAGUGGCGAACGGGUGAGUAACACGUGAGUAACCUGCCCUUAACUCUGGGAUAAGCCUGGGAAACUGGGUCUAAUACCGGAUAGGAGCGUCCACCGCAUGGUGGGUGUUGGAAAGAUUUAUCGGUUUUGGAUGGACUCGCGGCCUAUCAGCCUGUUGGCGAGGUAAUGGCUCACUAAGGCGACGACGGGUAGCCGGCCUGAGAGGGUGACCGGCCACACUGGGACUGAGACACGGCCCAGACUCCUACGGGAGGCAGCAGUGGGGAAUAUUGCACAAUGGGCGCAAGCCUGAUGCAGCGACGCCGCGUGAGGGAUGACGGCCUUCGGGUUGUAAACCUCUUUCAGUAGGGAAGAAGCGAAAGUGACGGUACCUGCAGAAGAAGCACCGGCUAACUACGUG